AGAGCGUAUGGUGGAUGUCUUGGCAUAUAGAGCGGAAGAAGGACGCGAUUAACAGCGAAAUGCCUCGGGGAGUCGUAAAUAGGCAACGAUCCGGGGGUAUCCGAAUGGGGCAACCCAGUACCAGUAAUGUGGUGCUAUCCUCAAGCCAAUACAUAACUUGAGAGAGGAGAACCCAGGGAAUUGAAACAUCUUAGUACCUGGAGGAAAAGAAAACAACAGUGAUUCCGAAAGUAGUGGCGAGCGAAAUUGGAAGAGCCCAAACCAGUCUAAGGACUGGGGUAGUAGGACUGCAACGUGGAAAGAGAAGGAAUAGUCGAAUGGCAUUGAAAGGCCAGUCGAAGAAGGUGCAAACCCUGUAGACGAAAUUCCAACGAAUCCUAGCAGGAUCCUGAGUACGACGAGGCACGUGGAACCUUGUCGGAAGCAACCGGGACCAUCCGGUAAGGCUAAAUACUCCUAUAUGACCGAUAGUGAACCAGUACCAUGAGGGAAAGAUGAAAAGAACCGCGGGAGCGGAGUGAAAUAGAACCUGAAACCGUAUGCUUACAAAAAGUCAGAGCACAUUAAAGUGUGAUGGCGUGCCUUUUGUAGAAUGAACCGGCGAGUUAUCCUUGCAUGCGAGGUUAAGCUGACAAAGCGGAGCCGAAGCGAAAGCGAAUCUUAAUAGGGUGAAAGUAUGCAGGGAUAGACCCGAAGCCGUUGUGAUCUAGUCAUGAGCAGGUUGAAGGUUGGGUGAAACCAACUGGAGGACCGAACCGACCCCCGUUGAAAAGUUGGCGGAUGACUUGUGAUUAGCGGAGAAAUUCCAAUCGAACACGGCGAUAGCUGGUUCUCCCCGAAAUAGCUUUAGGGCUAGCGUUGAGCGAAUCAUCGUGGAGGUAGAGCACUGAAUUCAUGAGGGCGGCAUCUAGCCGUACCAAAUGAAAUCAAACUCCGAAUGCCAUGAAUGAAUACUCAGCAGUCAGACUGUGGGUGAUAAGGUCCAUGGUCAAAACGGAAACAGCCGAGAUCAUCAGAUAAGGUCCCAAAAUCUAUGCUAAGUGGAAAAGGAUGUGGAGACGCGCAAACAGCUAGGAGGUUGGCUUAGAAGCAGCCACCCUUCAAAGAGUGCGUAACAGCUCACUAGUCGAGUAUCUCUGCGCCGAAAAUUAACCGGGGCUAAGCAUAGUACCGAAUCUAUGGAUUUAUAUUUCGAAUAUAAGUGGUAGGGGAGCGUUCCAAACAGCGUUGAAGGUAUACCGUAAGGAGUGCUGGAGCGUUUGGAAGUGAGAAUGCCGGUGUGAGUAGCGAGAUGUAGGUGAGAAUCCUACACACCGAUAGACCAAGGUUUCCAGGGGAAGGUUCGUCCGCCCUGGGUUAGUCGGGAACUAAGGCGAGGCCGAAAGGCGUAGUCGAUGAACAGCAGGUUGAUAUUCCUGUACCCACGUAUUAAAUGAUGGAGUGACAGACAAGGUUAGUUAGAGCCCUUACUGGAUUGGGCAAGACGUGUGAAUAGAUGGUAUAUAGGAAAAUCCGUAUACGGAAAUCAAGACACGGCUCGAGUGAACACGCGAGUAAGUAAUGAAGAAAAUGAUACCAGGUCUCAAGAAAAGCUUCUAGUGUUAAUUAAUAAGUGGCCCGUACCUAAACCGACACAGGUGGUCAAGGCGAGUAGCCUAAGGUGAGCGAGAGAACUGUUGCCAAGGAACUCGGCAAAUUGAUCCCGUACGUUAGCUAUAAGGGAUGCUCGAAAGAGCCGCAGUGAAAAGGCCCUAGCAACUGUUUAACUAAAACAUAGCUCUCUGCUAAGUCGCAAGACGAUGUAUAGGGGGUGACACCUGCCCGGUGCUGGAAGGUCAAAAGGAUGAGUUAGGAGCAAUCCGAAGCUUUGAAUUGAAGCCCCAGUGAACGGCGGCCGUAACUAUAACGGUCCUAAGGUAGCGAAAUUCCUUGUCAGGUAAGUUCUGACCCGCACGAAAGGUGUAAUGAUUUGGGAGCUGUCUCGACAAUGUACUCGGCGAAAUUGUAGUACUAGUGAAGAUGCUAGUUACCUGCGACAAGACAGAAAGACCCCAUGGAGCUUUACUGCAGCUUGAUACUGGGUUUCGGUAAUUUAUGUACAGGAUAGGUGGGAUGCUAAGAAGUAUGUGCGCCAGCGCAUAUGGAGCAGACGUUGGGAUACCACCCUUAAAUUACUGGAAUUCUAACUAUAAGUCCUAAGCGGGCUUGAGGACAAUGUCAGGCGGGCAGUUUGACUGGGGCGGUCGCCUCCUAAAGAGUAACGGAGGCGCGCAAAGGUUUCCUCAGCGCGGACAGAAAUCGCGCGAAAGAGUGCAAAGGCAGAAGGAAGCUUAACUGAGAGACAGACAUGUCGACCAGAUACGAAAGUAGGUCUUAGUGAUCCGGUGGUUGUAAGUGGAAAUGCCAUCGCUCAACGGACAAAAGUUACCCUGGGGAUAACAGGCUUAUCUCCCCCAAGAGUUCACAUCGACGGGGAGGUUUGGCACCUCGAUGUCGGCUCAUCACAUCCUGGAGCGGAAGUACGUUCCAAGGGUUGGGCUGUUCGCCCAUUAAAGUGGUACGCGAGCUGGGUUCAGAACGUCGUGAGACAGUUCGGUCCUUAUCUGUCGCAGGCGAAGGAUAUUUGAAGGGAGUUGACCUUAGUACGAGAGGACCAGGUUGAAGGAACCGAUGGUGCACCAGUUGUACUACCAAGUGCAUAGCUGGAUAGCUAAGUUCCGAAGGGAUAAACGCUGAAAGCAUCUAAGUGUGAAGCCCACCCUAAGAUAAGAUAUCCCAUAUCGAAAGAUAGU
Molecule: ribosomal RNA, 2792 nt
Filed under: metagenome
Description: bacterial LSU rRNA
Rfam family: Bacterial large subunit ribosomal RNA
Source: RNAcentral